RNAcentral lists this ribosomal RNA (252 nucleotides) under uncultured Bacteroidales bacterium. RNAcentral's name for it is "partial 16S ribosomal RNA". It matches the Rfam family "Bacterial small subunit ribosomal RNA", at positions 524 to 776 of the family's 1533-position model. Lineage: Bacteria; Pseudomonadati; Bacteroidota; Bacteroidia; Bacteroidales. The record is from RNAcentral.
UACGUAGGGGGCAAGCGUUAUCCGGAUUUAUUGGGUUUAAAGGGUGCGCAGGCGGCCUGUUAAGUCAGCGGUAAAAGCCCGGGGCUCAACCCCGGCGAGCCGUUGAAACUGGCGGGCUGGAGUUGGAGAGAAGUACGCGGAAUGCGCGGUGUAGCGGUGAAAUGCAUAGAUAUCGCGCAGAACUCCGAUUGCGAAGGCAGCGUACCGGCGCCAGACUGACGCUGAGGCACGAAAGCGUGGGGAUCGAACAGG